CUCUGUUUAUCUAUUUAUCCCUGUUUUGUCUUGUUUGCCGGCUUACUGACUACUGUGUACCAGACCUUGGCUAGUUUUUGUUCUCGCAGUCUCUUUGUUCCCUUGACCUCGGCUUGUUCUUGACUCUGUCUAUUCUCUGCUAUACGGCGAGUCCGGCCAUUCUAAGGUCCGGUAAGUCGUAUCUGCUCUAUCUGUCGGUUGUUGGACUAAAUUGUGCGUAUAGGGGUAAACUACCGUGACACCUCAGCCCUGAAGCUGGCCAAAAAUGGGAAAAGCCCAGGACCGGACGGCUUUACCACCAAAUAUUACAAGACAUUCUUUAAGACCCUGGCC
Pelobates cultripes (western spadefoot toad) is the source of this 333-nucleotide non-coding RNA. Lineage: Eukaryota; Metazoa; Chordata; Amphibia; Anura; Pelobatidae. The record is from the annotation of a GenBank genome assembly.